Non-coding RNA from Xenopus tropicalis (tropical clawed frog), 112 nucleotides. The record is from Rfam. Lineage: Eukaryota; Metazoa; Chordata; Amphibia; Anura; Pipidae.
AUCGCUUCUCGGCCUUUUGGCUAAGAUCAAGUGUAGUAUCUGUUCUUAUCAGUUCAGAUCUACUGAAGCAGGCUGAAGUCUGAAGAUCUGAAGCAGGAGAAAGAGAACAUCU